RNAcentral lists this non-coding RNA (28 nucleotides) under Homo sapiens (human). The record is from RNAcentral. Lineage: Eukaryota; Metazoa; Chordata; Mammalia; Primates; Hominidae.
UUGCUGCCUGAUCAUUCCUCUGGAAGUU